This 95-nucleotide ribosomal RNA is filed under the name uncultured bacterium. RNAcentral describes it as "partial 16S ribosomal RNA". It matches the Rfam family "Bacterial small subunit ribosomal RNA", at positions 1388 to 1482 of the family's 1533-position model. The record is from RNAcentral.
CACCGCCCGUCACACCACGAAAGUCGUUUGCACCAGAAGUCGGUGAGCCAACCGCAAGGAGGCAGCCGCCCAAGGUGUGUGCGAUGAUUGGGGUG